AGAGAGAGAGAGAGGGGAAAACAGAAUGUCAAAAGGAUAAAAAUAAAGCCUAUGAAACCACACUUUUAAGGAAACGAAACCGUACAUAUGGGCCAAUAGUCUAGGUAAGCAGAGCGCCAACGUAAACCAUAUGUCACUUAGUAGUGUUUGCUCGUCCCCCUCAGAAAAAAAAAGGAAAACAAAAUUAGUGUUUCCUCCAAAAAUAAAAAUGUGACUAGUAGUGGCAUGACCCAUUAACAUGAAAACUGACACAAACCAUAAACAUCAAACACGAUAGGGAGCAGCUA
This 287-nucleotide long non-coding RNA is filed under the name Hordeum vulgare. RNAcentral describes it as "long non-coding RNA (HVUL_LNC003110)". The record is from RNAcentral. Lineage: Eukaryota; Viridiplantae; Streptophyta; Magnoliopsida; Poales; Poaceae.